RNAcentral lists this ribosomal RNA (468 nucleotides) under uncultured bacterium. RNAcentral describes it as "partial 16S ribosomal RNA". It matches the Rfam family "Bacterial small subunit ribosomal RNA", at positions 28 to 507 of the family's 1533-position model. The record is from RNAcentral.
GACGAACGCUGGCGGCGUGCUUAACACAUGCAAGUCGAACGGAAAGACCCUGCUUUUGUGCGGUUCUCGAUUGGCGAACACGUGAGUAACACACGUGUAACCUGCACUUGUCUUUGUGAUAACUUUACGAAACACCGGCUAAUACCCCAUAGGAUCUCCUGCUGCGUGUUGUGGGUUGGAAAAUUUCGGCGGUUUUGGCUGGUCUCGCGGCUUACCAGCUUGUUGGUCGAGUAGUUGCUUACCAAGGCUUUGACGGAUAGCCGGCCUGAGAGGGGUAACGGGGACAAUGGGACUGAGAGAGGGAGCAGAAUCGAACCGGAGGCAGUAGUGGGAAACUUUGCGGAGUGGGGGGAAGGCUGAUGCAAAGACGCCGGGUGCGGGAUGACGGGUUACGGGUUGUAAACCACUUUGGACUGUGACGAAGAGUGAGUGACGGUAAUGGGUAAAGAAGCACCGGCUAACUACGUG